This is a long non-coding RNA of Lactuca sativa (garden lettuce), 504 nucleotides long. RefSeq lists it as uncharacterized. NCBI's taxonomy places the organism in Eukaryota, Viridiplantae, Streptophyta, Magnoliopsida, Asterales, Asteraceae. The record is from RefSeq and is a predicted model, not a curated record.
ACUCAUCGUCUAUUCGAUUUGUGCAAACCCUCCUCUUCCCCUCGCCGUAUACCAUCUACACCACCGGUGAAGAUGGUAUCACAUCUAUACAACCACAAAAGCCACCAAUCAAAUCCCUUUCCUCAUAACCACCACGCAUUGAGCAUUAUCCUAUUCACGUUUCCUCUGGUCAUUCCUACUUCACCAUCAUCGAAUCCAUCUCCCCCAACCCUCCUCUUCUCGCAGCCACUGAUACGUCACUACCACCAAUCUAAGCAAUCAGUGGAUCUGGAUUCGAUUUACAAGAUCCUUGACAAAAUAUUUAGACAAAUUUCAUUACUGAGGUGAAGAUCUAUUUUUUUAUUUUUGACAUGAUCAAAUCUUCUUAAGUUUUGUUUUUAGUAUAUUUUGUGUUUCUAUAUAUUUUGUGUUUCUGGUUUCCACAUUUAGUUUAUUUGGUUAUUUCAAGAAAAGAAUAAAAUUGUUGUUAAUUUAUCUUUUAGUAUUUUUCUGUAUUUGUUUGUA